AGUGAACGCUGGCGGUAGGCCUAACACAUGCAAGUCGAACGGCAGCACAGUAAGAGCUUGCUCUUACGGGUGGCGAGUGGCGGACGGGUGAGGAAUACAUCGGAAUCUACUUUUUCGUGGGGGUUAAGGAAGGGAAACUUACGACAUUACAGCAUCGGCCCCAGGGUGGAAAGCGGGGGAAAUUCGCACCUGGCGGGAUUGAACGCGCGGAUGACGGUUUAGUUAGUGGGGGGGGUAAAGGCCAACCCAGGCGAGGAUCCGUGGCUGGUCUGAGAGGAUGAUCAGCCACACUGGAACUGAGACACGGUCCAUACUCCUACGGUAGGCAGCAGUGGGGAAUAUUGGACAAUGGGCGCAAGCCUUAUCCAGCCAUACCGCGUGUGUUAAGAAGGCCUUCGGGUUGUAAAGCCCGUUUGUUGGGAAAGAAAAGCAGCAGGUUAAUACCCCGCUGUUCUGACGGUACCCAAAGAAUAAGCACCGGCUAACUUCGUG
Molecule: ribosomal RNA, 492 nt
Filed under: uncultured bacterium
Lineage: Bacteria
Description: partial 16S ribosomal RNA
Rfam family: Bacterial small subunit ribosomal RNA
Source: RNAcentral